GGGUCAGUAGGUUGGUCGUGCCACCGGUACGUACUGGUCUCACUGAUUCCUCCUUCCUGAAGAACCGUAAUGCCAUUAAUUUGGUGUUGCGGGGAAACAGGACUGUUACCUUGAAAAAAUUAGAGUGUUUAAAGCAAGCUAACGCUUGAAUACAUUAGCAUGGAAUAAUGAAAUAGGACGAUCGAUCCUAUUUUGUUGGUUCCUAGGAUUGACGUA
This 216-nucleotide ribosomal RNA is filed under the name Glomeromycotina sp. Its description in RNAcentral is "partial small subunit ribosomal RNA". The stretch from base 44 to 216 matches the Rfam family "Eukaryotic small subunit ribosomal RNA", at positions 690 to 864 of the family's 1831-position model. The record is from RNAcentral. Lineage: Eukaryota; Fungi; Glomeromycota.